GAAACGCGAUAGUUAAUGUGAAUUGCAGAAUUCAGUGAAUCAUCGAGUCUUUGAACGCACAUUGCGCCCAUUGGUAUUCCUUUGGGCAUGUCUGUUUGAGCGUCAUUACAACCCCUCAGCUAACGCUGGUUUUGAACCGGGACAGGUUAACACCCGCACCGGUUUUAAAGUUGUAAGCUCUGCUGGCUGCUCUGCCCCAACCGGAACAUAGUAAAACUACUACUUGUUAAGGCGAGGCGAAGCGGUACGGCCUGAACAAAACCUACCCAUUUUUCUAAGGUUUGACCUCAGAUCAGACAAGGAUACCCGCUGAACUUAA
RNAcentral lists this unclassified non-coding RNA (319 nucleotides) under uncultured Arthrobotrys. RNAcentral's name for it is "sequence contains ITS1". The stretch from base 1 to 105 matches the Rfam family "5.8S ribosomal RNA", at positions 50 to 154 of the family's 154-position model. The record is from RNAcentral. Lineage: Eukaryota; Fungi; Ascomycota; Orbiliomycetes; Orbiliales; Orbiliaceae.